Molecule: transfer RNA, 72 nt
Filed under: Candidatus Huberarchaeum julieae
Lineage: Archaea; Nanobdellati; Candidatus Huberarchaeota; Candidatus Huberarchaeia; Candidatus Huberarchaeales; Candidatus Huberarchaeaceae
Description: Euryarchaeota archaeon HGW-Euryarchaeota-1 tRNA-Arg
Rfam family: tRNA
About the family: Transfer RNA (tRNA) molecules are approximately 80 nucleotides in length. Their secondary structure includes four short double-helical elements and three loops (D, anti-codon, and T loops).
Source: RNAcentral
GCUCGCGUGGGGUAAUGGAUAGCCUAAAACCUUGCGGAGGUUUUGGUUCGGGUUCGAAUCCCGGCGUGAGCA